UACGUAGGGGGCAAGCGUUGUUCGGAUUUACUGGGCGUAAAGCGCACGUAGGCGGAUCGUUAAGUCGGGGGUGAAAUCCUGGAGCUCAACUCCAGAACUGCCCUCCAAACUGUUUGGCUUGAGACCGGGAGAGGUGAGUGGAAUUCCCAGUGUAGCGGUGAAAUGCGUAGAUAUUGGGAGGAACACCAGUGGCGAAGGCGGCUCACUGGACCGGUACUGACGCUGAGGCGCGAAAGCGUGGGGAGCAAACGGG
Molecule: ribosomal RNA, 253 nt
Filed under: uncultured bacterium
Lineage: Bacteria
Description: partial 16S ribosomal RNA
Rfam family: Bacterial small subunit ribosomal RNA
Source: RNAcentral